RNAcentral lists this long non-coding RNA (508 nucleotides) under Medicago truncatula (barrel medic). RNAcentral's name for it is "lncRNA gene38358". Lineage: Eukaryota; Viridiplantae; Streptophyta; Magnoliopsida; Fabales; Fabaceae. The record is from RNAcentral.
GUGUUGUAAUGUGGCAUUAACCAACCAUUCAAGCACUUAAAGAUGACAAAAUAUAGAUCUUCAAAAAUCGACUAAUCCGAGGGGACCAAUCCCACCGCCCAUUUGCGGGGGCCCCGUUUAAAGCCAGAGCAAGCUCUGUAUGGACUUAGCCCACCGAAAUUGGCACCAGAGGGAAUCGAACCUGAGACCUUUGGAGGAGCAAACUCCAAGAUCCCAAGCCAACCACUAGGCCAACCCCAAAUGGCUCAAAGUUGAUAAGGUUAAGCUAAUUGAAGUAUUUGGUACAUAUCAAUCUGAAUUUUCAAGUGUAAUUGUUGUGUAUGUACAAUGAAUCUCCAAUGUGCAAUUUCUUUAUUAUGGUUGUGAGUGCUAUGUAUUAACGAAAUGUGAAUGAUGUAAUUUUGCUUUUAUGAUGAAAGAUUUAAUUUCCAUACUUGUAAUUGGAAUCUGAGUUGUAUUUUGUUGUUAGGUUCUUUUAUAAUGAAUGACUCAUAUAGUAUUUUUUUAU